RNAcentral lists this unclassified non-coding RNA (1451 nucleotides) under uncultured fungus. RNAcentral's name for it is "sequence contains 18S rRNA gene, ITS1, 5.8S rRNA gene, ITS2, 28S rRNA gene". The stretch from base 398 to 1451 matches the Rfam family "Eukaryotic large subunit ribosomal RNA", at positions 1 to 961 of the family's 3401-position model. The record is from RNAcentral. Lineage: Eukaryota; Fungi.
GGAAGGAUCAUUCACGCAAUAUCCAAAAACCGUUAAAACGGCUCUGCUCGCGGGCACUGCCAACAACAAUAGUUUUUCCGCUUUACAGUGGUCUUGUAAUAGAUAAAACAUCUCAAGUUCAUGACGAUUGAUGCCUUGGUUCGGGAAUCGAUGAAGGACGCAGCAAAGUGCGAUAAGCACUGUGAAUUGCAGAAUUCAGCGAAUCAGUAGAUCUCUUAACGCAAAUGGUGUCAGGUAGACUUGUCUACUUGACAGAUAUACUUCAGUAUUGCACUAAUGCACUCAACAUGCAUUUUUGUACUCUCCUGUUAGAGUACGUGAGGUUCGCUAAAUAAAAAUGGCGAAUGGGAAGAGCUCGACGCUUUUAACUCGUUACGAACGUCAGAGCAUAUAUUAAUCAAUCUGAAGUAUGUCAGAAUACCCGCUGAACUUAAGCAUAUCAUUAAGCGGAGGAAAAGAAACUAACAAGGAUUCCCCUAGUAAUGGCGAAUGAACAGGGAAGAGCUCAAUGGUGAAUCAGGGGUUUCCUCUGACAUGUACCAUAUGGAUUAGCCAGUGCACGACGAAGGUUAACUCCGCUGGAAUGCGGGACCAAAGAGGGUGAUAGUCCCGUACAUACUUCUGAGUUGCACGUACGGAUAAUCCAGCAGAGAGUCGCGCUCUUUGGAAGUAGAGCGCUAAAGGGUGGUAAAUUUCAUCCAAAGCUAAAUAUUAUCCCGAAACCAAUAGCGAACAAGUACCAUGAGGGAAAGGUGAAAAGAACUUUGGAAAGAGGGUUAAAAGUGCCUGAGAUCGUCAUGGAGGAAGCGGAUGCCGUCCGGUUUCUUGACCUGGUAGUGCGGAAUAACCUGAGGCCAAUAAGCAUUUGCUUAGCACCUGCUUAGAAACCAUAUGGUUAUGAAGCAUGUUUCCAGGCUGAGUAUGUGAUGCCAACUAGAUGCUAAGUUGCCACAAGGGUAGACGGGCACUUGUGUUCUGAAGCCUUUGAUGCUUAGUGCUGGUUGAAAAGAAGGUGGCCAACCAACUCUGGGCUGAGGAGAUGAUUGACGUGCAAAUUGUCUCUCUGAGACCAUGCGUGCGUUAUUUCGCUUCUUGGUCUAGUGCGCUGGUUACCAUUGUAUCACCUAAGGAUGUUAUUCGACCCGUCUUGAAACACGGACCAAGGAGUCUAACGUGCGUGCGAGUGUGCGAGAUUUAAUCUUUCACGCGUAACGAAAGUGAUAUCUUCUUGAAUGCUUGCAUUUGUAGGAGGUACCAACCCUGAUCCACGGAGAAGGGCUUGAGUAUGAGCACGUACGUUAGGACCCGAAAGAUGGUGAACUAUGCCUGAGUAGGGUGAAGCCAGGGGAAACUCUGGUGGAAGCUCGUAGCGAUACUGACGUGCAAAUCGUUCGUCAAACUUGGGUAUAGGGGCGAAAGACCAAUCGAACCAUCUAGUAGCUGGUUCCCUC